AGUGAACGCUGGCGGUAGGCCUAACACAUGCAAGUCGAACGGCAGCACAGUAAGAGCUUGCUCUUACGGGUGGCGAGUGGCGGACGGGUGAGGAAUACAUCGGAAUCUACUUUUUCGUGGGGGAUAACGUAGGGAAACUUACGCUAAUACCGCAUACGACCUACGGGUGAAAGCAGGGGAUCUUCGGACCUUGCGCGAUUGAAUGAGCCGAUGUCGGAUUAGCUAGUUGGCGGGGUAAAGGCCCACCAAGGCGACGAUCCGUAGCUGGUCUGAGAGGAUGAUAGGCCACACUGGAACUGAGACACGGUCCAGACUCCUACGGGAGGCAGCAGUGGGGAAUAUUGGACAAUGGGCGAAAGCAUGAUACAGCCAUACCGCGUGGGUGAAGAAGGCCUUCGGGUUGUAAAGCCCUUUUGUUGGGAAAGAAAAGCAGCAGGUUAAUACCCCGCUGUUCUGACGGUACCCAAAGAAUAAGCACCGGCUAACUUCGUG
This 492-nucleotide ribosomal RNA is filed under the name uncultured bacterium. Its description in RNAcentral is "partial 16S ribosomal RNA". It matches the Rfam family "Bacterial small subunit ribosomal RNA", at positions 29 to 507 of the family's 1533-position model. The record is from RNAcentral.